Molecule: ribosomal RNA, 433 nt
Filed under: uncultured Coprococcus sp.
Lineage: Bacteria; Bacillati; Bacillota; Clostridia; Lachnospirales; Lachnospiraceae
Description: partial 16S ribosomal RNA
Rfam family: Bacterial small subunit ribosomal RNA
Source: RNAcentral
ACGGAAGGCGCAGUGGGGAAUAUUGCACAAUGGGCGAAAGCCUGAUGCAGCGACGCCGCGUGAGUGAAGAAGUAUUUCGGUAUGUAAAGCUCUAUCAGCAGGGAAGAAAAUGACGGUACCUGACUAAGAAGCCCCGGCUAACUACGUGCCAGCAGCCGCGGUAAUACGUAGGGGGCAAGCGUUAUCCGGAUUUACUGGGUGUAAAGGGAGCGUAGAUGGUAUGACAAGUCUGGAGUGUAAGCUCGAGGCUCAACUUCGGAAUUGCUUUGGAAACUGUCAUACUAGAGUGCAGGAGAGGCAAGUGGAAUUCCUAGUGUAGCGGUGAAAUGCGUAGAUAUUAGGAGGAACACCAGUGGCGAAGGCGGCUUGCUGGACUGUAACUGACAUUGAGGCUCGAAAGCGUGGGGAGCAAACAGGAUUAGAUACCCUGGUA